Molecule: ribosomal RNA, 255 nt
Filed under: uncultured bacterium
Lineage: Bacteria
Description: partial 16S ribosomal RNA
Rfam family: Bacterial small subunit ribosomal RNA
Source: RNAcentral
GACGGAGGGUGCAAGCGUUGUUCGGAUUGACUGGGCGUAAAGGGCGUGUAGGCGGUUGGUCAAGUCUGAUGUGAAAGCCCGGGGCUCAGCCCCGGAAGGGCAUCGGAAACUAGCCAGCUGGAGCGCGAUAGAGGAGGGUGGAAUUCCUGGUGUAGCGGUGAAAUGCGUAGAUAUCAGGAGGAACACCGGCGGCGAAGGCGGCCCUCUGGAUCGUUGCUGACGCUGAGACGCGAAAGCGUGGGGAGCAAACAGGAU